UCUCCGUUGGUGAACCAGCGGAGGGAUCAUUACCGAGUUUACAACUCCCAAACCCCUGUGAACAUACCAAUUGUUGCCUCGGCGGAUCAGCCCGCUCCCGGUAAAACGGGACGGCCCGCCAGAGGACCCUUAAACUCUGUUUCUAUAUGUAACUUCUGAGUAAAAUCAUAAAUAAAUCAAAACUUUCAACAACGGAUCUCUUGGUUCUGGCAUCGAUGAAGAACGCAGCAAAAUGCGAUAAGUAAUGUGAAUUGCAGAAUUCAGUGAAUCAUCGAAUCUUUGAACGCACAUUGCGCCCGCCAGUAUUCUGGCGGGCAUGCCUGUUCGAGCGUCAUUUCAACCCUCAAGCCCAGCUUGGUGUUGGGACUCGCGAGUUAAACCGCGUUCCCCAAAUUGAUUGGCGGUCACGUCGAGCUUCCAUAGCGUAGUAGUAAAACCCUCGUUACUGGUAAUCGUCGCGGCCACGCCGUUAAACCCCAACUUCUGAAUGUUGACCUCGGAUCAGGUAGGAAUACCCGCUGAACUUAA
RNAcentral lists this ribosomal RNA (528 nucleotides) under Fusarium sacchari. RNAcentral describes it as "eukaryotic LSU rRNA". The stretch from base 181 to 334 matches the Rfam family "5.8S ribosomal RNA". The record is from RNAcentral. Lineage: Eukaryota; Fungi; Ascomycota; Sordariomycetes; Hypocreales; Nectriaceae.